AUGGAGAAGUCAUACAUCUUAGUUAUCAUAACCUUCACCACAGGCUUAACUGUAGGUGAUGACAUCAGUCCUGAUAAAGAAGAAGUUUCCAGUAAUGAAGGAGAAUCAGUGACACUGAGCUGCAAUUACAGAGCAAGCAGUGACAAUAUUUUUCUGUACUGGUACAGACAGCACUCUAAUCGGGCACCACAGUACCUCCUGUUUAAAGGUGCUGGGGGAUACAGUGGUUUUGAGGAUAUUUCCAAUGACAGAUUCCAGUCUGCUACAUCCAGCACCUUCACCCAGCUCACCAUUACCAGUCUUACCAUAGCAGACACAGCCAUCUACUACUGUGCUCUGAGGGUUGCACAGUGA
Paramormyrops kingsleyae is the source of this 354-nucleotide non-coding RNA. Lineage: Eukaryota; Metazoa; Chordata; Actinopteri; Osteoglossiformes; Mormyridae. The record is from the annotation of a RefSeq genome assembly.